GACGAACGCUGGCGGCGUGCUUAACACAUGCAAGUCGAACGGAAAGGCCCUGCUUUUGUGGGGUGCUCGAGUGGCGAACGGGUGAGUAACACGUGAGUAACCUGCCCUUGACUUUGGGAUAACUUCAGGAAACUGGGGCUAAUACCGGAUAGGAGCUCAUGCUGCAUGGUGGGGGUUGGAAAGUUUCGGCGGUUGGGGAUGGACUCGCGGCUUAUCAGCUUGUUGGUGGGGUAGUGGCUUACCAAGGCUUUGACGGGUAGCCGGCCUGAGAGGGUGACCGGCCACAUUGGGAUUGAGAUACGGGCCAGACUCCUACGGGAGGCAGCGGUGGGGAAUAGUGCGCAAUGGGCGGAAGCCGGAUGCAGCAACGCCGCGUGCGGGAUGACGGCCUUCGGGUUGUAAACCGCUUUCGCCUGUGACGAAGCGUGAGUGACGGUAAUGGGUAAAGAAGCACCGGCUAACUACGUG
Molecule: ribosomal RNA, 468 nt
Filed under: uncultured bacterium
Lineage: Bacteria
Description: partial 16S ribosomal RNA
Rfam family: Bacterial small subunit ribosomal RNA
Source: RNAcentral